GCUGGGCGUGGUAAUGCACGCCUGUAAUCCCAGUGGCUUGGGAAGCUGAGGCAGGAGGAUUGUGAGUUCAAAGCCAGCCUCAU
RNAcentral lists this small RNA (83 nucleotides) under Marmota monax (woodchuck). The record is from RNAcentral. Lineage: Eukaryota; Metazoa; Chordata; Mammalia; Rodentia; Sciuridae.